RNAcentral lists this ribosomal RNA (497 nucleotides) under uncultured bacterium. Its description in RNAcentral is "partial 16S ribosomal RNA". It matches the Rfam family "Bacterial small subunit ribosomal RNA", at positions 28 to 507 of the family's 1533-position model. The record is from RNAcentral.
GAUGAACGCUGGCGGCGUGCCUAAUACAUGCAAGUCGAGCGAACGGACGAGAAGCUUGCUUCUCUGAUGUUAGCGGCGGACGGGUGAGUAACACGUGGAUAACCUACCUAUAAGACUGGGAUAACUUCGGGAAACCGUAGCUAAUACCGGAUAAUAUUUUGAACCGCAUGGUUCAAAAGUGAAAGACGGUCUUGCUGUCACUUAUAGAUGGAUCCGCGCUGCAUUAGCUAGUUGGUAAGGUAACGGCUUACCAAGGCAACGAUGCAAAGCCGACCUGAGAGGGUGAUCGGCCACACUGGAACUGAGACACGGUCCAGACUCCUACGGGAGGCAGCAUUAGGGAAUCUUCCGCAAUGGGCGAAAGCCUGACGGAGCAACGCCGCGUGAGUGAUGAAGGUCUUCGGAUCGUAAAACUCUGUUAUUAGGGAAGAACAUAUGUGUAAGUAACUGUGCACAUCUUGACGGUACCUAAUCAGAAAGCCACGGCUAACUACGUG